GGAGAAGUGGCUCAGUGGUUAAGAGCAUUAGCUGCUCUUCCAGAGGACCUGGGUUCUAGUCCCAGCACCCUCA
This 73-nucleotide transfer RNA is filed under the name Mus musculus (house mouse). It matches the Rfam family "tRNA". Rfam says of the family: Transfer RNA (tRNA) molecules are approximately 80 nucleotides in length. Their secondary structure includes four short double-helical elements and three loops (D, anti-codon, and T loops). Further hydrogen bonds mediate the characteristic L-shaped molecular structure. tRNAs have two regions of fundamental functional importance: the anti-codon, which is responsible for specific mRNA codon recognition, and the 3' end, to which the tRNAs corresponding amino acid is attached (by aminoacyl-tRNA synthetases). tRNAs cope with the degeneracy of the genetic code in two manners: having more than one tRNA (with a specific anti-codon) for a particular amino acid; and 'wobble' base-pairing, i.e. permitting non-standard base-pairing at the 3rd anti-codon position. The record is from Rfam by way of RNAcentral. Lineage: Eukaryota; Metazoa; Chordata; Mammalia; Rodentia; Muridae. RNAcentral also lists the same sequence under 1 other name.